AACGAACGCUGGCGGCAUGCCUAACACAUGCAAGUCGAACGAGACCUUCGGGUCUAGUGGCGCACGGGUGCGUAACGCGUGGGAACCUGCCUUUAGGUUCGGAAUAACUCAGAGAAAUUUGAGCUAAUACCGGAUGAUGUCUUCGGACCAAAGAUUUAUCGCCUUUAGAUGGGCCCGCGUUGGAUUAGCUAGUUGGUGGGGUAAAGGCCUACCAAGGCGACGAUCCAUAGCUGGUCUGAGAGGAUGAUCAGCCACACUGGGACUGAGACACGGCCCAGACUCCUACGGGAGGCAGCAGUGGGGAAUAUUGGACAAUGGGCGAAAGCCUGAUCCAGCAAUGCCGCGUGAGUGAUGAAGGCCUUAGGGUUGUAAAGCUCUUUUACCCGAGAUGAUAAUGUCAGUAUCGGGAGAAUAAGCUCCGGCUAACUCCGUG
Molecule: ribosomal RNA, 433 nt
Filed under: uncultured bacterium
Lineage: Bacteria
Description: partial 16S ribosomal RNA
Rfam family: Bacterial small subunit ribosomal RNA
Source: RNAcentral